RNAcentral lists this long non-coding RNA (1454 nucleotides) under Homo sapiens (human). RNAcentral describes it as "HSALNT0272725". Lineage: Eukaryota; Metazoa; Chordata; Mammalia; Primates; Hominidae. The record is from RNAcentral.
AACAAAAAAAAAAAAAUGAAUUUCUUCAUUGCUCUAAAGCUACCUUCCAUAUGUGACCAAAGGUGAGCGGAAAUGGCCUGGCGAGUGUAGCCCUGGUGGGUGAGACACCACGGGCAGGGCAGGCAGGGGCGGGGAGGAGAAUCAGAGGCCCCUUCAAGGUAAUGUUGGGCUGUGGUAUGGUUUGUCCCCACCAAAACUCGUGGAGACCUGGUCCCCAGUGUGGCAACACUGGGAGCUGGGACCUUUAAGAGGUAAUGAGUUUUUUUUUUCUCUAGACUGAAUUAGAUCUUUUUACAAAAUGAGGCCCUCACCAGAAGCUAAGCAGAUGUCGGUGCCAUGCUUCCUAGACUUCUAAGCCUUCAGAACCAUGAGCUAAAUAAGCCUCUUUUCUUCAUAAAUUACUCAGCCUCAGGUAUUCUGUUACAGCAACAGAAAACACUAAGACGCUGUGCCAAUGCGCGAGUCCACGGCUCUUCACGGGACCUGGCAUGGGACGCACUGGCUCAGGGGCUCCAAGGCCACUCAGCUCUUCCUCAGCACAGUUUGGCUCAUCUCUCUGCUGACCAGCUUCCUACGCUUAGGGUUUCCAGUCCCCAAGACUUCCGUCCGUAAUGGACAUAAUGGUCUAUAAUGGCACCCAGCCCUAGUCCUCCUCCUGGACCAAUCAGUGCAGCCCCCAUAGCCACCAGGUCCAUCCCUCAGGUUCUAGAUUCCAAAUUCCAAAGAUGAGAAUCUGACCAGUCCCAGCUCUUUUGCCAGGGCACACGUUUCCAAGGGCAUGGGCCAGCCACUGGACAGGCCCUCUUCGGGUGAGCGAUGGCAAAAUAUAGGGUCCCUCCUAAGAACAGUCAUUAGGAGAGCAGCAGCUGUGAGGGCUGAUUAGCCUAGAAGGGAACAUUGGAUGUGUCAGCCAAUCCUCUAGCACAACAGAAUUAACAUAAAACAAGCAUUUUGGAUGAGGGAUACUCAACCUGCACUGUUACUCACUGGAGAGCGUCUGAGUGACCCACAGACUCACACCCCUUCUUACCCACCUCAUCUGCGGGGAGGCGGACCAGGACAUGUAGAGCAAGAUGAGGAAGAGCAGCACCACGAAGGCAGCCAGGCUCACCCAGAAUGCGAUCACGAUGGAAUCUGCGGGAGGAGGAGAUGCAUCUCAGCGCUGGGUUAUGUCAACAUAAAGCAACGCUGAGGGGCAGUAAGGAGUCCCAGGGUAUUGUGGAAUGAGGGCCCUGAGUUUCGGUUGUCCUCCAGCCUCUCAGCUGUUACCAUGGGGAAGAUCUCCCAUUAACAAUAACUUUGGGAAAGAACAGGGGAGCCAAGAAGUGUCUUUUUCCUCAGGGCAGCUGGCCACGGGGUCUGUUUAGGGUGAUUGUUAAGAGGAAACACUGAAUGGAAUUGUGUGCCCCCCCACCCCAUGCAUCUGCUUGCCCGGCUCCUAGUGGUGCUCAGAG